GCCGAGAUAGCUCAGCUGGUAGAGCACAGGACUGAAAAUCCUGGUGUCGCCGGUUCGAGUCCGGCUCUCGGCACCA
Molecule: transfer RNA, 76 nt
Filed under: Bacillota bacterium
Lineage: Bacteria; Bacillati; Bacillota
Description: Firmicutes bacterium tRNA-Phe
Rfam family: tRNA
About the family: Transfer RNA (tRNA) molecules are approximately 80 nucleotides in length.
Source: RNAcentral